AACGUAGGAGGCGAGCGUUAUCCGGAUUGACUGGGCUUAAAGGGUGAGCAGGCGGUUGGCUAAGUGGUGCCUGAAAGCCGUGCGCUCAACGCGCGGAGGCGGUGCCAGACUGGUCGGCUAGAGGGUGCGAGAGGGCUGUGGAAUUCCGGGUGUAGUGGUGAAAUGCGUAGAGAUCCGGAGGAACACCGGUGGCGAAGGCGGCUCACUGGCCCGUUUCUGACGCUCAGGCGCGACAGCGUGGGGAUCAAACAGG
RNAcentral lists this ribosomal RNA (253 nucleotides) under uncultured prokaryote. RNAcentral describes it as "partial 16S ribosomal RNA". It matches the Rfam family "Bacterial small subunit ribosomal RNA", at positions 524 to 776 of the family's 1533-position model. The record is from RNAcentral.